GGACGAGGGGCCCCUCUCGGGUUACCGAAUUCAGACAAACUCCGAAUGCCAAUUAAUUUAACUUGGGAGUCAGAACAUGGGUGAUAAGGUCCGUGUUCGAAAGGGAAACAGCCCAGACCACCAGCUAAGGUCCCAAAAUAUAUGUUAAGUGGAAAAGGAUGUGGCGUUGCCCAGACAACUAGGAUGUUGGCUUAGAAGCAGCCAUCAUUUAAAGAGUGCGUAAUAGCUCACUAGUCGAGUGACACUGCGCCGAAAAUGUACCGGGGCUAAACAUAUUACCGAAGCUGUGGAUUGUCCUUUGGACAAUGGUAGGAGAGCGUUCUAAGGGCGUUGAAGCAUGAUCGUAAGGACAUGUGGAGCGCUUAGAAGUGAGAAUGCCGGUGUGAGUAGCGAAAGACGGGUGAGAAUCCCGUCCACCGAUUGACUAAGGUUUCCAGAGGAAGGCUCGUCCGCUCUGGGUUAGUCGGGUCCUAAGCUGAGGCCGACAGGCGUAGGCGAUGGAUAACAGGUUGAUAUUCCUGUACCACCUAUAAUCGUUUUA
RNAcentral lists this ribosomal RNA (541 nucleotides) under Staphylococcus aureus. Its description in RNAcentral is "partial 23S ribosomal RNA". It matches the Rfam family "Bacterial large subunit ribosomal RNA", at positions 916 to 1461 of the family's 2925-position model. The record is from RNAcentral. Lineage: Bacteria; Bacillati; Bacillota; Bacilli; Caryophanales; Staphylococcaceae.